RNAcentral lists this unclassified non-coding RNA (213 nucleotides) under Hevea brasiliensis (rubber tree). The record is from RNAcentral. Lineage: Eukaryota; Viridiplantae; Streptophyta; Magnoliopsida; Malpighiales; Euphorbiaceae.
CCGUGACAAGAAAAGCCAGUGAAUUGGAAUUAACUGGCCGGGCAGCAUGAAUACGCACUGUAGGCCGUUCAGGAAUAAAGCCUGGAAACCCACUUUCUAUAUCUCCUCUUGAACCUCUGAACACGAAACUCAUGUUUGCAGAAAAGCUUUCAAGAUCUAAAAUUUCAUUCUUCUUCCAGAUAUAUUUUUUUUUUUUUUUUUGGGGCUUCAAAA